This 440-nucleotide ribosomal RNA is filed under the name uncultured bacterium. RNAcentral describes it as "partial 16S ribosomal RNA". It matches the Rfam family "Bacterial small subunit ribosomal RNA", at positions 338 to 795 of the family's 1533-position model. The record is from RNAcentral.
CCUACGGGUGGCAGCAGUAGGGAAUAUUGCUCAAUGGGGGAAACCCUGAAGCAGCAACGCCGCGUGGAGGAUGAAGGUUUUCGGAUUGUAAACUCCUGUUGUGAGAGAAGAUACUGACGGUAUCUCACGAAUAAGCACCGGCUAACUCCGUUCCAGCAGCCGCGGGAAUAAGGAGGGUGCAAGCGGUAGUCGGAAACACUGGGCGGAAAGAGUGCGGAGGCGGGGUUGUAAGUCAGAUGGGAAAUCCUGUGGGUUAACUAUAGAAAUGCAUUUGAAACUAUGAGUCUUGAGUGUGGGAGAGGUAAGUGGAAUUCUUGGUGUAGGGGUAAAAUCCGUAAAUAUCAAGAGGAAUACUCGUGGCGAAGGCGACUUACUGGGACUUUACUGACGCUGAUGCACGAAAGCGUGGGGAGCAAACAGGAUUAGAUACCCUUGUAGUC